Molecule: long non-coding RNA, 348 nt
Organism: Saccostrea cuccullata (small rock oyster)
Lineage: Eukaryota; Metazoa; Mollusca; Bivalvia; Ostreida; Ostreidae
Exons: 4
Source: RefSeq, a predicted model, not a curated record
GUGUGCUGGACAAAAUAACUUUCCACAUUGACCAAAAUGUGACCCUCAUUCCCCCCUCUCCCAUCCCCUCCUCCAUACCUAUCAGAGUAUACCCAGCUGAUGCUAAUUCAGCUCCUCCUACUUGCAUAAAAAGGAAGGGGGAUAACCAAAAUAAAGACUUCAUCUAUAUGUUUUCUCCUGACAAGACACUGCCGAAACCAAAAAAGUGGAAUGUGACUUCACCAGCUCCAGUGCCAAGGAAAAGUCUUGCUACACAGCAAGAGGAUGAUCUAGUUUCUCUACAAGAGUCAGACACCCUCAUAGAAUCAUCCGUUGUCAGCAAGAAAGCAAAUCAGAAAGCAAGCAAAG